This 301-nucleotide ribosomal RNA is filed under the name uncultured bacterium. Its description in RNAcentral is "partial 16S ribosomal RNA". It matches the Rfam family "Bacterial small subunit ribosomal RNA", at positions 509 to 807 of the family's 1533-position model. The record is from RNAcentral.
CAGCAGCCGCGGGAAUACAGAGGGUGCAAGCGUUAAUCGGAUUUACUGGGCGUAAAGCGUGCGUAGGUGGCUGUUUAAGUCGGAUGUGGAAGCCCUGGGCUUAACCUGGGAACUGCAUUCGAUACUGGAUAGCUAGAGAUCGGUAGAGGGCAGCGGAAUUCCGGGUGUAGCGGUGAAAUGCGUAGAUAUCCGGAGGAACACCGAUGGCGAAGGCAACUGCCUGGGCCUGAUCUGACACUGAGGCACGAAAGCGUGGGUAGCAAACAGGAUUAGAUACCCCCGUAGUCCCUGUCUCUUAUAC